This 469-nucleotide ribosomal RNA is filed under the name uncultured bacterium. Its description in RNAcentral is "partial 16S ribosomal RNA". It matches the Rfam family "Bacterial small subunit ribosomal RNA", at positions 28 to 507 of the family's 1533-position model. The record is from RNAcentral.
GAUGAACGCUGGCGGCGUGCUUAACACAUGCAAGUCGAACGGUGAACCCGGAGCUUGCUCUGUGGGAUCAGUGGCGAACGGGUGAGUAACACGUGAGCAACCUGCCCCUGACUCUGGGAUAAGCGCUGGAAACGGCGUCUAAUACUGGAUAUGUGACGUGACCGCAUGGUCUGCGUUUGGAAAGAUUUUUCGGUUGGGGAUGGGCUCGCGGCCUAUCAGCUUGUUGGUGAGGUAGUGGCUCACCAAGGCGUCGACGGGUAGCCGGCCUGAGAGGGUGACCGGCCACACUGGGAUUGAGACACGGCCCAGACUCCUACGGGAGGCAGCAGUGGGGAAUAUUGCACAAUGGGCGGAAGCCUGAUGCAGCAACGCCGCGUGAGGGAUGACGGCCUUCGGGUUGUAAACCUUUUUUGGCAGUGAAGAAGCGAAAGUGACGGUACCUGCAGAAAAAGCGCCGGCUAACUACGUG